CAGAAGAUAGUUUAAUAAAAAUUUUAAUUUUGGAGAUUAAUGAUAAGAAAUAGUUUUCUUUCUUCUGA
RNAcentral lists this transfer RNA (68 nucleotides) under Ochthebius sp. IBE<ESP> AN77. RNAcentral describes it as "tRNA-Pro". Lineage: Eukaryota; Metazoa; Arthropoda; Insecta; Coleoptera; Hydraenidae. The record is from RNAcentral.